RNAcentral lists this ribosomal RNA (408 nucleotides) under uncultured bacterium. RNAcentral's name for it is "partial 16S ribosomal RNA". It matches the Rfam family "Bacterial small subunit ribosomal RNA", at positions 28 to 526 of the family's 1533-position model. The record is from RNAcentral.
GACGAACGCUGGCGGCGUGCUUAACACAUGCAAGUCGAACGAAGUGGCGAACGGGUGAGUAACGCGUAAUCAACCUGCCCUUCAGAGGGGGACAACAGUUGGAAACGACUGCUAAUACCGCAUACGGAAGGAGGGGAUUGCGUCUGAUUAGCUAGGUGGAGGGGUAACGGCCUACCAAGGCGAUGAUCAGUAGGCGGGUUGAGAGGAUGGACGGCCACAUCGGGACUUGGACACGGCCCCAACUCCUACCGGAAGGAGCAGGGGGGAAAUUUCCGCAAUGGGCGAAAGGCUGGCGGAGCAACUCCGCGUGAGUGAUGACUGCCUUCGGGGUGGAAAGCUCUGUUAAGCGGGACGCGGUACCUGAAUAGAAAGCCACGGCUAACUACGUGCCAGCAGCCGCGGUAAUAC